UUUUUUUUAAUAGAGAGUUGGGCCUGCUCGGUGAUUUAUAUUUAACAGCUGCGGUAUUAUAACUGUACUAAGGUAGCAUAAUAAUUUGCUCUAUAAAUUGGGGCUAGAAUGAAUGGUUUGACGAAAAUUAAGCUGUCUCUGUUUUAUUUGUUAGAAAUUAAUUUUUAUAGUGAAAAAGCUUGGAUGAUUUAAAGGGACGAGAAGACCCUAUUGAGCUUAUAUUAUUAUGUAAAUUCGGUUAUGUAUAUAAUUUUUUAGGAGUUUAUUAUUUAUAAUUUUGGUUGGGGUGAUCAAGGAAUAAAAGAUUUUUAGUUUAGUGUAUAACUUCCUUAAAGUUAUGAGUUUUAUAGAAUAAUAAACCAAGUUUUUUGCUUAUAGGUAAGUUACCAUAGGGAUAACAGCGUAAUUUUUUUUGAGAGUUCUUAUUGAAAAAAGAGAUUGCGACCUCGAUGUUGGAUUAGGAUAACCUUAAGGUGUAGAGGCUUUAUUAGGUAAAUCUGUUCGAUUUUUAAAA
Molecule: ribosomal RNA, 514 nt
Filed under: Octopus sp.
Lineage: Eukaryota; Metazoa; Mollusca; Cephalopoda; Octopoda; Octopodidae
Description: partial 16S ribosomal RNA
Rfam family: Bacterial large subunit ribosomal RNA
Source: RNAcentral